RNAcentral lists this unclassified non-coding RNA (642 nucleotides) under Hevea brasiliensis (rubber tree). Lineage: Eukaryota; Viridiplantae; Streptophyta; Magnoliopsida; Malpighiales; Euphorbiaceae. The record is from RNAcentral.
AGCAAAUCCUAUCAUUUACUAUUAGAAAUCCUUCUGUAUGCUUCCCUUUUCGACUUGAGCAAGAUUCCUUCAAUUCCAUUGCUCAAGUAUAUCUCACUUUUGAUAUGCAUGGACUUAUGGUUCCAUUGUUAUCUGAAAAUUUUCUAAUUCUGUUUGCUUUGAACUAUUUCUUUAGUUCUGCAGAAUGGGGAGACAUAUGUGAUGUGUCACGUAUCUGAUUUUAUUGAGUAGGUUAAUGUAACCAACAUAUGUAUAAAAACGCAUUAGUGGAUUACUGGAUUAGGAGCCUGGGUAGCUGGAUACACAUUCGUCAAUUUGGUAUCUGAUCUUUAGCAUUCGAUUUCUUUCGCUGUCAUUUGUCAAGUUGUUGAUCGAUUUUUAUUGUAGGAAUAUGAUUAUGCCAGUUGAUGUACCAUACAAAGAUAUUCUUCUGUCUAUGAAAUGUUUAUUUAUUGAGGUGUUUACAAAUACAAACACACAUCUAUGAUCUAUUCUUUUAUAUAUUGAUGUUUCUUAGCUAAAACUAAAAUGUUUUCUCUGCUUGUCGCAGUUUAAAAUUUGAGGGACUUCCUUGUCUAGCUGCCUUUAUUUAUGUCGAUUAAAAUGCAUUAUGCUUUUUAAUGAUACUACUGUUUGUUUUGG